Long non-coding RNA from Microtus ochrogaster (prairie vole), 281 nucleotides. RefSeq lists it as uncharacterized. The record is from RefSeq and is a predicted model, not a curated record. The transcript is spliced from 4 exons. NCBI's taxonomy places the organism in Eukaryota, Metazoa, Chordata, Mammalia, Rodentia, Cricetidae.
AUAAUGGAAAGGUUAAUCUGAAAAAUAUUGUGCCAAAAUUGAAAGAUUUCGAGGGAGAGAAGAUCAGUGUGGGUGGCCUGAAGAGCGCUGUUGGAGAAAUGGGGAUCGAACUCAACGACAGAGAGUAUGUGAACCUGCUGGAGACGCUGCCAUUUGAUGAAAAUAACAAAGUUUUCCGAAAUCGACUCCUGUCCAGCCUGAGGGGUUUCAGAGGUGGAAGGGUUGAUCCCAACAAGCUGAAGACACUCCUCCUAAACAUAGGGCUCAAACUCAAAAGCAAG